AAGAAAGUCAUAGGGGUUAUGGGGCUGGCUUGAAACCAGCUUUAGGAGGUUCAAUUCCUUCCUUUCUUG
RNAcentral lists this transfer RNA (69 nucleotides) under Cavia porcellus (domestic guinea pig). It matches the Rfam family "tRNA". Rfam says of the family: Transfer RNA (tRNA) molecules are approximately 80 nucleotides in length. The record is from Rfam by way of RNAcentral. Lineage: Eukaryota; Metazoa; Chordata; Mammalia; Rodentia; Caviidae.